UUCAACUACGGUGUAUAAUUACGAUACGC
This 29-nucleotide small RNA is filed under the name Bombyx mori (domestic silkworm). Its description in RNAcentral is "ovarian small RNA-1600". Lineage: Eukaryota; Metazoa; Arthropoda; Insecta; Lepidoptera; Bombycidae. The record is from RNAcentral.